Molecule: transfer RNA, 87 nt
Filed under: Gammaproteobacteria bacterium
Lineage: Bacteria; Pseudomonadati; Pseudomonadota; Gammaproteobacteria
Description: tRNA-Leu
Rfam family: tRNA
About the family: Transfer RNA (tRNA) molecules are approximately 80 nucleotides in length. Their secondary structure includes four short double-helical elements and three loops (D, anti-codon, and T loops). Further hydrogen bonds mediate the characteristic L-shaped molecular structure. tRNAs have two regions of fundamental functional importance: the anti-codon, which is responsible for specific mRNA codon recognition, and the 3' end, to which the tRNAs corresponding amino acid is attached (by aminoacyl-tRNA synthetases). tRNAs cope with the degeneracy of the genetic code in two manners: having more than one tRNA (with a specific anti-codon) for a particular amino acid; and 'wobble' base-pairing, i.e. permitting non-standard base-pairing at the 3rd anti-codon position.
Source: RNAcentral
GCCGAGGUGGUGAAAUUGGUAGACACGCCAGCUUCAGGUGCUGGUGGGGGUAACCCCGUGGAGGUUCGAGUCCUCUCCUCGGCACCA